Numida meleagris (helmeted guineafowl) is the source of this 1735-nucleotide long non-coding RNA. Lineage: Eukaryota; Metazoa; Chordata; Aves; Galliformes; Numididae. The record is from Ensembl.
CUUUUCUCUUUCUUCUUCUUCUUUUUUUUUUUUUUGAGAGAUGUUUUCACAUGGGAAUAUACUUUCCCCCCCCUUCUUUCUCCAUGACAACUGACCACAAUUGAAGUAGAUUCUUCUUAACAUACUGUAAUGUGAGAAUUUUCUUCAGCUGGAGGGUGUUUUAUUCCCUAAAUUGAAAGCUGUUCUACUUUACCGCAUAAAAUGUGAGCUGGAAGAUUAGGAUGCUGGGUACCUUUGCCAGUAUAAAAAAAGGUGCGUGCUCAAGAGUUAUCUGACUGGGUUGUUGAAGACAGCAAGUCACUACAGAGGAGAAGGAAUUCUCAGAAGAUAAGUGUCUGCCACCCUGUCUCUUUUGUGCUAACUACCAACAGCUGGAGCCCAGGCAGAAGAGAGGCAAGAGAAGCACGUGUCAAGGAAGUAUGUGCUUAAGCAUGAAGGUGAACAGAGCUUUCCAGGGGAAAGGUCAUCUUCUAACCAAACGGGAGAUGUUGAGUUAGAAACUCCUUUUCCUGUUAUUUCAAACAUACCCCAAGCACAGCUCCAGCAGCCACUGAGGGUCGGUUGGGCAUGGAUGGGAGAGGGCUGACCCGACGUCAAUUUGUAGUGUUCCUUCAUUAUCUGCCCAUUCUAAUGGGCGUCUGCUGCACAUCAUGGACGCAAAGUGCGGAGCAUCGGGUGUUCACAGCUUCCCAUUGUGAAGUGAAGGUGUUGGGACCACCUUGUAUUCAGGUGAGAUUAAACUGCAUUAUCUCUCCUGACUUCCCAUUUGUACUAUUGUCCUGGAUGGAUAUCUCUAUAGAGACUUGGUGUCCCUUUUGUUACUGGCACUUGAACUACAGGUUCACACUUCAUAGUUGUGAUAAACAGCCUAUUUGCUGUUCCUUCUUUCAUAUUCAAUUAGUUGCUUUCUAAUAAUUACUGUGCUUUAUUUUUUUUUUUACUGAACCUAAUGAGUCAGAAAUAGAAGUAGCAGUGAGUCUUGCUUUUUAGUGCAAACACAUUGAAAUUAGCCUUUCACAACUGAAAAUUCCUGUUACCUUCCUAACAAAAAUACAUUUUUGAAUGAGAUUCUUUGUGCCUCUGAAGACUAUUGAGGCUCUUUGAUAGCAAAGUGAAAUACAAGGUUGCAGCAAAUUAACGAGUGAGAAGCCUUUUGAAAGCAAAACCUAACUCAGUGGACCUUACCGUGCUUGGCAGUUGUCUGAUGCAGUCAGCUGUGAACCAGAACAGAUAUAUACUUGUUGCCAUCAGCAAGUGCCCAAAGUGUGUAACGCUGCAGAGUUUAUGUGACUUGGACACCUGAGACCACAGCCGUGGGGAUGGGAAGGAAAGGAGAAGUUGAGCUGGACCACCAGGGCAUGGUACUGCUGGCUUACUACAGUAAUAGGAUCCCCAGGUCUGAGCCAGUGCUAUCACUACAAGAAAGUGUAGAAUAUGAGGGAAGAUGAUGCAUGGAAAAAAGAAAAACAUUCCUGAGUCACCCUGCUUCAGGAGCAUAAGGAGGCACAAGAUAGUAAACGUUGGAUUUUCAUCCUACCUUUACAUUUCUGUGACAGGGCAUCAUUAUGAGCUCUCCUUUCAAAGCUGGAAGCAGAGAGAUUAUCAAAACCAUGAGGUUUUUGGUAUAUUCAUGACAGAAUGGGCAGAUUAAAAAAGGAUGCACUACUUGAUCGGCAGCUUCCUGCAUAUGUAAAUCUUAGGUCACCUUGCUGUUCCUUGAUGUCUGAAGUCUGCA